Molecule: ribosomal RNA, 492 nt
Filed under: uncultured bacterium
Lineage: Bacteria
Description: partial 16S ribosomal RNA
Rfam family: Bacterial small subunit ribosomal RNA
Source: RNAcentral
AGUGAACGCUGGCGGUAGGCCUAACACAUGCAAGUCGAACGGCAGCACAGUAAGAGCUUGCUCUUACGGGUGGCGAGUGGCGGACGGGUGAGGAAUACAUCGGAAUCUACUUUUUCGUGGGGGAUAACGUAGGGAAACUUACGCUAAUACCGCAUACGACCUACGGGUGAAAGCAGGGGAUCUUCGGACCUUGCGCGAUUGAAUGAGCCGAUGUCGGAUUAGCUAGUUGGUGAGGUAAAGGCCCACCAAGGCGACGAUCCGUAGCUGGUCUGAGAGGAUGAUCGGCCACACUGGAACUGAGACACGGUGCAGACUCCUACGGGAGGCAGCAUGAGGGAAGCUGCCGCAAUGGGCGGAAGCCUGACGGAGCAAUGCCGCGUGGGUGAUGAAGGUCUUCGGAUCGUAAAACUCUUUUAUUAGGGAAGAACAGAGGUGUAAGAAACUGUGCACAUCUUGACGGUACCUAAUCAGAAAGCCACGGCUAAAUAAGUG